AGGCAGGGCUUGUUUCCAUCCCCAGGCUCUUGGGAACAGCCCGCGAACAGAUUGUUCCUGCCAGAGUAUCUCAUUAUUUUAAGCAAAUUGAAUUUCUCAUUGACUAUGUUGAAAGGGACUGUUUAGAGCAGAAACUGCUGACAGAGUGAAUUGAAUGAAACAAAAGAUGCCCAAUUACAAGACAGUGUGAGUGUGUAUGAGGGUACAUACAGGACCACAGGCAGCAAACACACAAUACGUCAGAACCCCAUGUCUGACGGGAUAAACAAUUUCAUUUGUCUAUGACAGCAGUUCAACGUAUGCAUUCUGCACUAGAAGGGAGUGGGAUAUGAAAGGAUGGGGCCCAGACAAAUGUCUGGAUGGAAAAUGGCAAGAAA
This is a long non-coding RNA of Bos taurus (domestic cattle), 377 nucleotides long. NCBI's taxonomy places the organism in Eukaryota, Metazoa, Chordata, Mammalia, Artiodactyla, Bovidae. The record is from Ensembl.